CACUCCUACGGGAGGCAGCAGUGGGGAAUUUUGGACAAUGGGCGAAAGCCUGAUCCAGCAAUGCCGCGUGAGUGAAGAAGGCCUUCGGGUUGUAAAGCUCUUUUGUCAGGGAAGAAACGGUGAAAGCUAAUAUCUUUUGCUAAUGACGGUACCUGAAGAAUAAGCACCGGCUAACUACGUGCCAGCAGCCGCGGUAAUACGUAGGGUGCAAGCGUUAAUCGGAAUUACUGGGCGUAAAGCGUGCGCAGGCGGUUUUGUAAGUCUGAUGUGAAAUCCCCGGGCUCAACCUGGGAAUUGCAUUGGAGACUGCAAGGCUAGAAUCUGGCAGAGGGGGGUAGAAUUCCACGUGUAGCAGUGAAAUGCGUAGAUAUGUGGAGGAACACCGAUGGCGAAGGCAGCCCCCUGGGUCAAGAUUGACGCUCAUGCACGAAAGCGUGGGGAGCAAACAGGAUUAGAAACCGGGGUAGUCCCA
This 472-nucleotide ribosomal RNA is filed under the name uncultured organism. Its description in RNAcentral is "partial 16S ribosomal RNA". It matches the Rfam family "Bacterial small subunit ribosomal RNA", at positions 334 to 797 of the family's 1533-position model. The record is from RNAcentral.